This is a long non-coding RNA of Oncorhynchus keta (chum salmon), 712 nucleotides long. RefSeq lists it as uncharacterized. Lineage: Eukaryota; Metazoa; Chordata; Actinopteri; Salmoniformes; Salmonidae. The record is from RefSeq and is a predicted model, not a curated record. The transcript has 4 exons.
GCCACCCAGGACUUUUACUUGCCAGAUGUAGUUAAAUACAGUAAAGAGGAACAAUGGGUACAUAGUGAAGAUGUGCCUGCUCAUCCCCAGAAUCAGUAAAGAGGAACAAUGGGUACAUAGUGAAGAUGUGCCUGCUCAUCCCCAGAAUCAGUAAAGAGGAACAAUGGGUACAUAGUGAAGAUGUGCCUGCUCAUCCCCAGAAUCAGUAAAGAGGAACAAUGGGUACAUAGUGAAGAUGUGCCUGCUCAUCCCCAGAAUCAGUAAAGAGGAACAAUGGGUACAUAGUGAAGAUGUGCCUGCUCAUCCCCAGAAUCAGUAAAGAGGAACAAUGGGUACAUAGUGAAGAUGUGCCUGCUCAUCCCCAGAAUCAGUAAAGAGGAACAAUGGGUACAUAGUGAAGAUGUGCCUGCUCAUCCCCAGAAUCAGUAAAGAGGAACAAUGGGUACAUAGUGAAGAUGUGCCUGCUCAUCCCCAGAAUCAGUAAAGAGGAACAAUGGGUACAUAGUGAAGAUGUGCCUGCUCAUCCCCAGAAUCAGUAAAGAGGAACAAUGGGUACAUAGUGAAGAUGUGCCUGCUCAUCCCCAGAAUCAGUAAAGAGGAACAAUGGGUACAUAGUGAAGAUGUGCCUGCUCAUCCCCAGAAUCAGUAAAGAGGAACAAUGGGUACAUAGUGAAGAUGUGCCUGCUCAUCCCCAGAAUCAGUAAAGAGGAAC